Molecule: transfer RNA, 65 nt
Filed under: Halanaerobium congolense
Lineage: Bacteria; Bacillati; Bacillota; Clostridia; Halanaerobiales; Halanaerobiaceae
Description: tRNA_Cys_GCA
Source: RNAcentral
AGCGGAAACGGUAGUUAGGACUGCAAAUCCUUUAUUCGACGGUUCAAAUCCGUCUGCCGCCUCCA